GGGGUUCUGGCUCAGUGGUAGAGCACUCGCUUAGCACAUGUGAGGUCUUGAGUUCGAUUCUCAGCACCACA
Molecule: transfer RNA, 71 nt
Filed under: Marmota monax (woodchuck)
Lineage: Eukaryota; Metazoa; Chordata; Mammalia; Rodentia; Sciuridae
Description: tRNA.Ala
Rfam family: tRNA
About the family: Transfer RNA (tRNA) molecules are approximately 80 nucleotides in length. Their secondary structure includes four short double-helical elements and three loops (D, anti-codon, and T loops).
Source: RNAcentral